This 253-nucleotide ribosomal RNA is filed under the name uncultured bacterium. Its description in RNAcentral is "partial 16S ribosomal RNA". It matches the Rfam family "Bacterial small subunit ribosomal RNA", at positions 524 to 776 of the family's 1533-position model. The record is from RNAcentral.
UACGGAGGGUGCAAGCGUUAUCCGGAUUCACUGGGUUUAAAGGGUGCGUAGGUGGGUUGGUAAGUCAGUGGUGAAAUCCCCGAGCUUAACUUGGGAACUGCCAUUGAUACUAUUAAUCUUGAAUUAUCUGGAGGUAAGCGGAAUAUGUCAUGUAGCGGUGAAAUGCUUAGAUAUGACAUAGAACACCCAUUGCGAAGGCAGCUUACUACGGAUACAUUGACACUGAGGCACGAAAGCGUGGGGAUCAAACAGG